CCUACGGGUGGCUGCAGUUUCGAAUCCUUCACAAUGGGCGAAAGCCUGAUGGUGCGACGCCGCGUGAGGGAUGAAGGUCUUCGGAUUGUAAACCUCUGUCACCGGGGAAGAAACGCUUCAAGUUAAUAGUUUGAAGCCUGACUUAACCCGGAGAGGAAGCAGUGGCUAACUCUGUGCCAGCAGCCGCGGUAAUACAGAGACUGCAAGCGUUAUUCGGAUUGACUAGGCGUAAAAGUUGCUGAGGUGUCCAAGCCCGGAGCUUAACUCCGGAAUUGCUCCUCAAACUACAUGGCUAGAGCAUUGGAGAGGGUAGCAGAAUUCACGGUGUAGCAGUGAAAUGCGUAGAUAUCGUGAGGAAUACCAGAGGCGAAGGCGGCUACCUGGACAAUUGCUGACGCUCAGGCACGAAAGCGUGGGGAGCAAAAGGGAUUAGAUACCCCAGUAGUC
RNAcentral lists this ribosomal RNA (447 nucleotides) under uncultured bacterium. RNAcentral describes it as "partial 16S ribosomal RNA". It matches the Rfam family "Bacterial small subunit ribosomal RNA", at positions 338 to 795 of the family's 1533-position model. The record is from RNAcentral.